GCCAGACUCCUACGGGAGGCAGCAGUGGGGAAUAUUGCACAAUGGGGGAAACCCUGAUGCAGCGACGCCGCGUGGGUGAAGGAGCACCUCGGUGCGUAAAGCCCUAUCGGCAGGGAAGAAACAGACGGUACCUGACCAAGAAGCCCUGGCUAACUACGUGCCAGCAGCCGCGGUAAUACGUAGGGGGCGAGCGUUAUCCGGAAUUACUGGGUGUAAAGGGAGCGUAGACGGCGAAGUAAGCCUGAAGUGGAAGCCCGCGGCCCAACCGCGGAACUGCUUUGGGAACUGUUUUGCUGGAGUAUGGGAGGGGUAAGCGGAAUUCCUGGUGUAGCGGUGAAAUGCGUAGAUAUCAGGAGGAACACCGGUGGCGAAGGCGGCUUACUGGACCAUGACUGACGUUGAGGCUCGAAAGCGUGGGGAGCGAACAGGAUUAGAUACCCGUGUACA
Molecule: ribosomal RNA, 447 nt
Filed under: uncultured bacterium
Lineage: Bacteria
Description: bacterial SSU rRNA
Rfam family: Bacterial small subunit ribosomal RNA
Source: RNAcentral